This 271-nucleotide ribosomal RNA is filed under the name uncultured prokaryote. Its description in RNAcentral is "partial 16S ribosomal RNA". It matches the Rfam family "Bacterial small subunit ribosomal RNA", at positions 524 to 794 of the family's 1533-position model. The record is from RNAcentral.
UACGGAGGAUCCGAGCGUUAUCCGGAUUUAUUGGGUUUAAAGGGUGCGUAGGUGGGCCUGUAAGUCAGUGGUGAAAGUUUGCAGCUUAACUGCAGAACUGCCGUUGAUACUGAUAGUCUUGAGUUUGGUUAAGGUAGGCGGAAUGUGUAAUGUAGCGGUGAAAUGCUUAGAUAUUACACAGAACACCGAUUGCGAAGGCGGCUCUCUGGACUGUAACUGACACUGAGGCACGAAAGCGUGGGGAGCAAACAGGAUUAGAUACCCCGGUAGU